GUGAAGAACGUAGCGAAAUGCGAUAAGUAGUGUGAAUUGCAGAAUUCAGUGAAUCAUCGAAUCUUUGAACGCACAUUGCGCCCCUUGGUAUUCCAUGGGGCAUGCCUGUUCGAGCGUCAUUUGUACCUUCAAGCUCUGCUUGGUGUUGGGUGUUUGUCUCGCCUCUGCGUGUAGACUCGCCUCAAAACAAUUGGCAGCCGGCGUAUUGAUUUCGGAGCGCAGUACAUCUCGCGCUUUGCACUCAUAACGACGACGUCCAAAAGUACAUUUUUACACUCUUGACCUCGGAUCAGGUAGGGAUACCCGCUGAACUUAAGCAUAUCAAUAAGCGGAGGA
This 336-nucleotide unclassified non-coding RNA is filed under the name soil metagenome. Its description in RNAcentral is "partial contains 5.8S ribosomal RNA, internal transcribed spacer 2, and large subunit ribosomal RNA". The stretch from base 2 to 119 matches the Rfam family "5.8S ribosomal RNA", at positions 37 to 154 of the family's 154-position model. The record is from RNAcentral.